This 494-nucleotide ribosomal RNA is filed under the name uncultured bacterium. RNAcentral's name for it is "partial 16S ribosomal RNA". It matches the Rfam family "Bacterial small subunit ribosomal RNA", at positions 28 to 507 of the family's 1533-position model. The record is from RNAcentral.
GAUGAACGCUGGCGGCGUGCCUAACACAUGCAAGUCGAACGGUGAAACGCCUUCCUUUCUGGUGGGAGUGGAUGAGCGGCGAACGGGUGAGUAACACGUUAGCAACCUGCCACCUUUUGCUGGAUAACCGCAUGAAAGAGCGGCUAACACGGGAUAUUCUGAGCCUGUCGCAUGAUGGGUCUGGGAAAGAUAUUGUUUCGGUGGGGGAUGGGCUCGCGGCUUAUCAGCUUGUUGGUGGGGUGACGGCCUACCAAGGCGGUGAUGGGUCGCCGGCCUGAGAGGGUGGGCGGCCACGGAGGUGCGACGCCGCGCAGCCGCCUCCGGCAGGCAGCAGCAGUGAGUAAUAUUCCACGGUGGGAGGCAUGCUGAUGCAGCGACGCCGCGUGGAGGAUGGUCUCCUGAUGGUUGAGAACCUCUUUCGCGGGUGAAGCAGGGCUGCCUCGUUUGUGGGUGGGUUGACGGUAGCUGGAGAAGAAGCGCCGGCUAACUACGUG